Molecule: ribosomal RNA, 416 nt
Filed under: Wolbachia endosymbiont of Drosophila chauvacae
Lineage: Bacteria; Pseudomonadati; Pseudomonadota; Alphaproteobacteria; Rickettsiales; Anaplasmataceae
Description: partial 23S ribosomal RNA
Rfam family: Bacterial large subunit ribosomal RNA
Source: RNAcentral
AGUGAGUGCGAGAAGGGCGUUCGGUGGAUGCCUUGGCACUAGAAGGCGAUGAAGGACGUGGCACGCUGCGAAAAGCCAUGGGGAGCCGCGAGUAGGCUUUGAUCCGUGGAUAUCCGAAUGGGGCAACCCCCUCGCAAGAGGAUCCCUCACUGAAUACAUAGGUGUGGGAGGCAAACCCGGGGAACUGAAACAUCUCAGUACCUGGAGGAAAAGACAUCAAUUGAGAUUCCGCUAGUAGUGGCGAGCGAACGCGGAACAGGCCAGUGGCCAUGAGAAGACAAGCAGAAUGCUCUGGAAAGUGCAGCCAUAGUGGGUGAUAGCCCCUUAUGCGUAAUGCUUCUUAUGGUCCUUGAGUAGGGCGGGGCACGUGAAACCCUGUCUGAACAUGGGGGGACCACCCUCCAAGCCUAAAUACU